RNAcentral lists this ribosomal RNA (427 nucleotides) under uncultured bacterium. RNAcentral describes it as "bacterial SSU rRNA". It matches the Rfam family "Bacterial small subunit ribosomal RNA", at positions 355 to 774 of the family's 1533-position model. The record is from RNAcentral.
UGGGGAAUCUUCCGCAAUGGACGAAAGUCUGACGGAGCGACGCCGCGUGAGUGAAGAAGGCCUUCGGGUCGUAAAGCUCUGUCAUCAGGGACGAACGGCCGGUGGAGUGGAAAGCCACCGGAUUGACGGUACCUGAGAAGGAAGCCACGGCUAACUACGUGCCAGCAGCUGCGGUAAUACGUAGGUGGCAAGCGUUGUCCGGAAUUAUUGGGCGUAAAGCGCGCGCAGGUGGGAUCUUAAGUCCAUUUUGAAAGUUCGGAGCUCAACUCCGUGAUGGGAUGGAAACUGGGAUUCUUGAGUACCGGAGAGGAAAGCGGAAUUCCCCGUGUAGCGGUGAAAUGCGUAGAUAUGGGGAGGAACACCAGUGGCGAAGGCGGCUUUCUGGACGGUGUCUGACACUGAGGCGCGAAAGCCAGGGGAGCGAACG